Molecule: long non-coding RNA, 407 nt
Organism: Hemicordylus capensis (graceful crag lizard)
Lineage: Eukaryota; Metazoa; Chordata; Lepidosauria; Squamata; Cordylidae
Exons: 3
Source: RefSeq, a predicted model, not a curated record
UGUUAACCUAAUUGAUGUGUGCAAAUGUGAGGCCUGUAUCGUUUGAACUGAGGGAAGGCUGGUCAGUGAGGGCUUAGGGUAAGCCCAAACAAUCAGAAGACAGGAUGGCUUGACUAGCACCUUUCCUGGCCAAUCAUGGAAGACCCGAGGCUGCAGCAGGAGGAAAGAGGGGUUGAAACAAGCUCCCUUCUCAGCGAAAAUAGCUGUUUGUGGUUCUUCUGAUUAAGCUGUACUUGAUGCUGAUUUCCUAAAACAUCCCCACAAGCCCAGCAACACACUCUGAGUGAGAGCUGAAUGGAGAAGACAGAACAAGCAGUGCAGAUCCACACAAAAAAGAAAGAAAGAAAGAAAGAAAGAAAGAAAGAAAGAAAGAAAGAAAGAAAGAAGUGCAAGGAGUCAUGCCAGAA